UACGGAGGGUACGAGCGUUGUCCGGAAUCACUGGGCGUAAAGGGCGUGUAGGCGGUCAAGUAAGUGGAAUGUGAAAGCCCCCGGCUUACCCGGGGAUCUGCAUCCCAAACUGCUUGGCUUGAGUAUGGGAGAGGAUGGAGGAAUUCCUGGUGUAGCGGUGAAAUGACGUAGAUAUCAGGAGGAACACCGGUGGCGAAGGCGUCCAUCUGGCCCAAUACUGACGCUGAGGCGCGAAAGCUAGGGGAGCGAACGGG
Molecule: ribosomal RNA, 254 nt
Filed under: uncultured bacterium
Lineage: Bacteria
Description: partial 16S ribosomal RNA
Rfam family: Bacterial small subunit ribosomal RNA
Source: RNAcentral